Molecule: ribosomal RNA, 315 nt
Filed under: Triticum aestivum (bread wheat)
Lineage: Eukaryota; Viridiplantae; Streptophyta; Magnoliopsida; Poales; Poaceae
Description: partial small subunit ribosomal RNA
Source: RNAcentral
AUGGCGUGGCGCGGCGCUGCGUCCCGCACCGUCCUCGCCGCGGUCCGCCGGCCGGCACCCUCGGCCGCGGUCGGCGGCCUCCGGGCCCCUCCUCCCUUCGCGGCCCCGCGCCGCCGGAUCCCUUCCCCCUUCGCCCCCUCCCACCCCACCUCCCCGCUCGGAGCCACACGGCCCCUGGCGGCCAUGAUGGGGUCGCCGCUGACGGCGGCGGUGGUGCUAGGACGGAUGACGGCGCACCCGUCGGCCAGCGCCCGGGCCUGCUGCGAGCUCUCCCAGGGUACCCUCUUUUUCCGCCGUACUUGUCAGGAUCACUAA